RNAcentral lists this unclassified non-coding RNA (354 nucleotides) under soil metagenome. RNAcentral's name for it is "partial contains 5.8S ribosomal RNA, internal transcribed spacer 2, and large subunit ribosomal RNA". The stretch from base 1 to 120 matches the Rfam family "5.8S ribosomal RNA", at positions 35 to 154 of the family's 154-position model. The record is from RNAcentral.
GAUGAAGAACGUAGCGAAAUGCGAUACGUAAUGUGAAUUGCAGAAUUCAGUGAAUCAUCGAGUCUUUGAACGCACAUUGCGCCCCCUGGUAUUCCGGGGGGCAUGCCUGUCCGAGCGUCAUUUCAACCCUCAGGCCCCCAGUGCCUGGCGUUGGGGAUCGGCGCGGCGCCCUCCGGGGCGCUGCCGGCCCCGAAAUUCAGUGGCGGUCUCGCUGUAGCCCUCCUCCGCGUAGUAGCACAACCUCGCGGCCUGGAGCUCGGCGGUGGCCAUGCCGUAAAACACCCCACUUCUGAAAGUUGACCUCGGAUCAGGUAGGAAUACCCGCUGAACUUAAGCAUAUCAAUAAGCGGAGGA